CCUACGGGGGGCUGCAGUGGGGAAUAUUGGACAAUGGGCGAAAGCCUGAUCCAGCCAUGCCGCGUGUGUGAAGAAGGCCUUCGGGUUGUAAAGCACUUUCAGUGGGGAAGAAAGCCUUGGGGCUAAUACCCUCGAGGAAGGACAUCACCCACAGAAGAAGCACCGGCUAACUCCGUGCCAGCAGCCGCGGUAAUACGGAGGGUGCGAGCGUUAAUCGGAAUUACUGGGCGUAAAGCGCGCGUAGGCGGUCUGAUAAGCCGGUUGUGAAAGCCCCGGGCUCAACCUGGGAACGGCAUCCGGAACUGUCAGGCUAGAGUGCAGGAGAGGAAGGUAGAAUUCCCGGUGUAACGGUGAAAUGCGUAGAGAUCGGGAGGAAUACCAGUGGCGAAGGCGGCCUUCUGGACUGACACUGACGCUGAGGUGCGAAAGCGUGGGUAGCAAACAGGAUUAGAUACCCGUGUAGUC
This 465-nucleotide ribosomal RNA is filed under the name Vreelandella stevensii. Its description in RNAcentral is "partial 16S ribosomal RNA". It matches the Rfam family "Bacterial small subunit ribosomal RNA", at positions 338 to 795 of the family's 1533-position model. Lineage: Bacteria; Pseudomonadati; Pseudomonadota; Gammaproteobacteria; Oceanospirillales; Halomonadaceae. The record is from RNAcentral.